GACACCAUGGUAUACCCUUCCAUAUGAUCCCUCACCUAUCAAAGCUUUCGAACCAAAGUUAUCAGUGAUAUCCUUUAACUCAUCAACAGCGAUGGAAGGAACAGCAAUGGGCUGGAUAUUCACAGUCUGUGUCUCUCUUUGUGCACUUUCUGUGGCACGCUGACCUCCAUUGUUGCCUGCUGAAUUGUGUGCCAUGAAUGGCCCAUUAUCAGUAGCUCUGUGCAUAUCAUCAUCAUCACAACAACUGAAGCAGCUCAUAGCUCAGUCAACAAAAUAAGAUUCUAACCUUCUUGAAAGUGUGGGGGGUUUUGAUCUGUGAACUGAAA
RNAcentral lists this unclassified non-coding RNA (326 nucleotides) under Hevea brasiliensis (rubber tree). The record is from RNAcentral. Lineage: Eukaryota; Viridiplantae; Streptophyta; Magnoliopsida; Malpighiales; Euphorbiaceae.